UUCAAAUUGAGAGUUUGAUCCUGGCUCAGGACGAACGCUGGCGGCGUGCCUAAUACAUGCAAGUCGAGCGAGCUGAAUUCAAAGAUCCCUUCGGGGUGAUUUGUUGGACGCUAGCGGCGGAUGGGUGAGUAACACGUGGGCAAUCUGCCCUAAAGACUGGGAUACCA
Molecule: ribosomal RNA, 167 nt
Filed under: Lactobacillus delbrueckii subsp. indicus
Lineage: Bacteria; Bacillati; Bacillota; Bacilli; Lactobacillales; Lactobacillaceae
Description: partial 16S ribosomal RNA
Rfam family: Bacterial small subunit ribosomal RNA
Source: RNAcentral